UCGGCUACGACUGGGUCCCGCGGGGCGUUA
This 30-nucleotide small RNA is filed under the name Bombyx mori (domestic silkworm). Its description in RNAcentral is "ovarian small RNA-28979". The record is from RNAcentral. Lineage: Eukaryota; Metazoa; Arthropoda; Insecta; Lepidoptera; Bombycidae.